CAAAUGCCCUAAACUGUUUAUGGUGUCCUCUCUCUAGGUUAUGGCGACGGUGACCAACGAUGGUAUCUAGAUGCAUGGAAGAUAAUUUGGCCGAGAACAGAACACUGAACCUCGACACCCCAUCUGAACCGUCUGAAAAUGGAGUGUGACAUGAGUCCAUGUAGAGUGAGCGAGAGAUCCAGUCCAAACUUCUCUCAUGCUGCUGGUGUACCGGUAGGAAAAUGGACAAAGACAUAAUGGACUGUAAGGCUCCCUGACUGGCUCCUGACCUAUUUAGAGUGUUUAUAUGCUGUUUAAUAUGACAUGUAGCCUAUUUGAAAUUGUUUGCAUCUUACAUUCACAUUUUCAUGUUUAAUAAAA
This is a long non-coding RNA of Oncorhynchus gorbuscha (pink salmon), 360 nucleotides long. RefSeq lists it as uncharacterized. The transcript has 3 exons. The record is from RefSeq and is a predicted model, not a curated record. NCBI's taxonomy places the organism in Eukaryota, Metazoa, Chordata, Actinopteri, Salmoniformes, Salmonidae.